RNAcentral lists this ribosomal RNA (253 nucleotides) under uncultured bacterium. Its description in RNAcentral is "partial 16S ribosomal RNA". It matches the Rfam family "Bacterial small subunit ribosomal RNA", at positions 524 to 776 of the family's 1533-position model. The record is from RNAcentral.
UACAUGGGGUGCAAACGUUGCUCGGAAUUAUUGGGCGUAAAGCGCGCGUAGGCGGUUACUCAAGUCGGAUGUGAAAGCCCUCGGCUUAACUGAGGAAGUGCACCCGAAACUGAGUAGCUAGAGUACUAAAGAGGGUCGCGGAAUUCCCGGUGUAGAGGUGAAAUUCGUAGAUAUCGGGAGGAACACCGGUGGCGAAGGCGGCGACCUGGGUAGAUACUGACGCUGAGGAGCGAAAGCGUGGGGAGCAAACAGG